CAGUCGCCGCGGUAAUACGUAGGUGGCAAGCGUUGUCCGGAAUUAUUGGGCGUAAAGGGCUCGCAGGCGGUUUCUUAAGUCUGAUGUAAAAGCCCCCGGCUCAACCGGGGAGGGUCAUUGGAAACUGGGAAACUUGAGUGCAGAAGAGGAGAGUGGAAUUCCACGUGUAGCGGUGAAAUGCGUAGAGAUGUGGAGGAACACCAGUGGCGAAAGCACUCUGCUGGGCCGACACUGACACUGAGAGACGAAAGCUAGGGGAGCAAAUGGGAUUAGAUACCCGGUAGUCCCUGUCUCUUAUACA
This 301-nucleotide ribosomal RNA is filed under the name uncultured bacterium. RNAcentral's name for it is "partial 16S ribosomal RNA". It matches the Rfam family "Bacterial small subunit ribosomal RNA", at positions 509 to 808 of the family's 1533-position model. The record is from RNAcentral.